UAGGGAAUCUUCGGCAAUGGACGAAAGUCUGACCGAGCAACGCCGCGUGAGUGAAGAAGGUUUUCGGAUCGUAAAACUCUGUUGGUAGAGAAGAACGUUGGUGAGAGUGGAAAGCUCAUCAAGUGACGGUAACUACCCAGAAAGGGACGGCUAACUACGGGCCAG
This 165-nucleotide ribosomal RNA is filed under the name uncultured bacterium. RNAcentral's name for it is "partial 16S rRNA". It matches the Rfam family "Bacterial small subunit ribosomal RNA", at positions 355 to 511 of the family's 1533-position model. The record is from RNAcentral.